UUGACAUCCACGGAACUUUCCAGAGAUGGAUUGGUGCCUUCGGGAACCGUGAGACAGGUGGUGCAUGGCUGUCGUCAGCUCGUGUCGUGAGAUGGUGGGUUAAGUCCCGCAACGAGCGCAACCCUUGUCCUUAGUUGCCAGCACGUAAUGGUGGGAACUCUAAGGAGACCGCCGGUGACAUACCGGAGGAAGGUGGGGAUGAUGUCAAGUCAUCAUGGCCCUUACGACCAGGGCUACACACGUAGUACAAUGGUAGGGACAGAGGGCUGCAAACCCGCGAGGGUAAGCCAAUCCCAGAAACCCUAUCUCAGUCCGGAUUGGAGUCUGCAACUCGACUCCAUGAAGUCGGAAUCGCUAGUAAUCGCAGAUCAGCAUUGUCUCCGGUGAAUACGUUCCCGGGCCUUGUACACACCGCCCGUCACACCAUGGGAGUUUGUUGCACCAGAAGGCA
Molecule: ribosomal RNA, 451 nt
Filed under: uncultured bacterium
Lineage: Bacteria
Description: bacterial SSU rRNA
Rfam family: Bacterial small subunit ribosomal RNA
Source: RNAcentral